Molecule: ribosomal RNA, 497 nt
Filed under: uncultured bacterium
Lineage: Bacteria
Description: partial 16S ribosomal RNA
Rfam family: Bacterial small subunit ribosomal RNA
Source: RNAcentral
GAUGAACGCUGGCGGCGUGCCUAAUACAUGCAAGUCGAGCGAACAGACGAGGAGCUUGCUCCUCUGACGUUAGCGGCGGACGGGUGAGUAACACGUGGAUAACCUACCUAUAAGACUGGGAUAACUUCGGGAAACCGGAGCUAAUACCGGAUAAUAUAUUGAACCGCAUGGUUCAAUAGUGAAAGACGGUUUUGCUGUCACUUAUAGAUGGAUCCGCGCCGCAUUAGCUAGUUGGUAAGGUAACGGCUUACCAAGGCGACGAUGCGUAGCCGACCUGAGAGGGUGAUCGGCCACACUGGAACUGAGACACGGUCCAGACUCCUACGGGAGGCAGCAGUAGGGAAUCUUCCGCAAUGGGCGAAAGCCUGACGGAGCAACGCCGCGUGAGUGAUGAAGGUCUUCGGAUCGUAAAGCUCUGUUAUUAGGGAAGAACAAAUGUGUAAGUAACUAUGCACGUCUUGACGGUACCUAAUCAGAAAGCCACGGCUAACUACGUG